Molecule: ribosomal RNA, 468 nt
Filed under: uncultured bacterium
Lineage: Bacteria
Description: partial 16S ribosomal RNA
Rfam family: Bacterial small subunit ribosomal RNA
Source: RNAcentral
GACGAACGCUGGCGGCGUGCUUAACACAUGCAAGUCGAACGGAAAGGCCCUGCUUUUGUGGGGUGCUCGAGUGGCGAACGGGUGAGUAACACGUGAGUAACCUGCCCUUGACUUUGGGAUAACUUCAGGAAACUGGGGCUAAUACCGGAUAGGAGCUCCUGCUGCAUGGUGGGGGUUGGAAAGUUUCGGCGGUUGGGGAUGGACUCGCGGCUUAUCAGCUUGUUGGUGGGGUAGUGGCUUACCAAGGCUUUGACGGGUAGCCGGCCUGAGAGGGUGACCGGCCACAUUGGGACUGAGAUACGGCCCAGACUCCUACGGGAGGCAGCAGUAGGGAAUAUUGCACAAUGGGCGGAAGCCUGAUGCAGCAACGCCGCGUGCGGGAUGACGGCCUUCGGGUUGUAAACCGCUUUAGCCUGUGACGAAGCGUGAGUGACGGUAAUGGGUAAAGAAGCACCGGCUAACUACGUG